AGUGAACGCUGGCGGUAGGCCUAACACAUGCAAGUCGAACGGCAGCACAGUAAGAGCUUGCUCUUACGGGUGGCGAGUGGCGGACGGGUGAGGAAUACAUCGGAAUCUACUUUUUCGUGGGGGAUAACGUAGGGAAACUUACGCUAAUACCGCAUACGACCUACGGGUGAAAGCAGGGGAUCUUCGGACCUUGCGCGAUUGAAUGAGCCGAUGUCGGAUUAGCUAGUUGGCGGGGUAAAGGCCCACCAAGGCGACGAUCCGUAGCUGGUCUGAGAGGAUGACCAGCCACACUGGAACUGAGACACGGUCCAGACUCCUACGGGAGGCAGCAGUGGGGAAUAUUGGACAAUGGGCGCAAGCCUGAUCCAGCCAUACCGCGUGGGUGAAGAAGGCCUUCGGGUUGUAAAGCCCUUUUGUUGGGAAAGAAAAGCAGCAGGUUAAUACCCCGCUGUUCUGACGGUACCCGAAGAAUAAGCACCGGCUAACUUCGUG
This 492-nucleotide ribosomal RNA is filed under the name uncultured bacterium. RNAcentral's name for it is "partial 16S ribosomal RNA". It matches the Rfam family "Bacterial small subunit ribosomal RNA", at positions 29 to 507 of the family's 1533-position model. The record is from RNAcentral.